Molecule: ribosomal RNA, 450 nt
Filed under: uncultured bacterium
Lineage: Bacteria
Description: bacterial SSU rRNA
Rfam family: Bacterial small subunit ribosomal RNA
Source: RNAcentral
GAUGAACGCUGGCGGCGUGGAUAAGGCAUGCAAGUCGAGUGGGUUUAGGCCCACGGCAAACGGGUUCGGAAUACAUAGGAAUUUUCCUCAGAGUCGUGAAUAAUUCGGAGAAAUCCGAGCUAAUACACGAUACGCUCUACGGAGUAAAGAUUUAUCGCUUUGAGAUGAGCCUGUGUCCUAUCAGCUUGUUGGUGAGGUAAAAGCCCACCAAGGCUAUGACGGGUAGGGGGUGUGAGAGCAUGACCCCAACAUUGGAACUGAGACACUGUCCAAACACCUACGGGUGGCUGCAGUCGAGAAUAUUCCACAAUGGACGAAAGUCUGAUGGAGCGACGCCGCGUGUGGGAUGAAGGCCUUCGGGUUGUGAACCACUUUUUCUAGGGAGCAAUUUCGAUGAGAGUACCUGAAGAAUAAGAGGUUACUAACUACUGUGCCAGCAGCCGCGGUAAU